RNAcentral lists this ribosomal RNA (744 nucleotides) under Curtobacterium flaccumfaciens pv. flaccumfaciens. Its description in RNAcentral is "bacterial SSU rRNA". It matches the Rfam family "Bacterial small subunit ribosomal RNA", at positions 114 to 871 of the family's 1533-position model. Lineage: Bacteria; Bacillati; Actinomycetota; Actinomycetes; Micrococcales; Microbacteriaceae. The record is from RNAcentral.
CACGUGAGUAACCUGCCCCUGACUCUGGGAUAAGCGUUGGAAACGACGUCUAAUACUGGAUAUGAUCACUGGCCGCAUGGUCUGGUGGUGGAAAGAUUUUUUGGUUGGGGAUGGACUCGCGGCCUAUCAGCUUGUUGGUGAGGUAAUGGCUCACCAAGGCGACGACGGGUAGCCGGCCUGAGAGGGUGACCGGCCACACUGGGACUGAGACACGGCCCAGACUCCUACGGGAGGCAGCAGUGGGGAAUAUUGCACAAUGGGCGAAAGCCUGAUGCAGCAACGCCGCGUGAGGGAUGACGGCCUUCGGGUUGUAAACCUCUUUUAGUAGGGAAGAAGCGAAAGUGACGGUACCUGCAGAAAAAGCACCGGCUAACUACGUGCCAGCAGCCGCGGUAAUACGUAGGGUGCAAGCGUUGUCCGGAAUUAUUGGGCGUAAAGAGCUCGUAGGCGGUUUGUCGCGUCUGCUGUGAAAUCCCGAGGCUCAACCUCGGGCUUGCAGUGGGUACGGGCAGACUAGAGUGCGGUAGGGGAGAUUGGAAUUCCUGGUGUAGCGGUGGAAUGCGCAGAUAUCAGGAGGAACACCGAUGGCGAAGGCAGAUCUCUGGGCCGUAACUGACGCUGAGGAGCGAAAGCAUGGGGAGCGAACAGGAUUAGAUACCCUGGUAGUCCAUGCCGUAAACGUUGGGCGCUAGAUGUAGGGACCUUUCCACGGUUUCUGUGUCGUAGCUAACGCAUAAGCGCCCG